This 1137-nucleotide ribosomal RNA is filed under the name Klebsiella pneumoniae. RNAcentral describes it as "bacterial SSU rRNA". It matches the Rfam family "Bacterial small subunit ribosomal RNA", at positions 1 to 1125 of the family's 1533-position model. Lineage: Bacteria; Pseudomonadati; Pseudomonadota; Gammaproteobacteria; Enterobacterales; Enterobacteriaceae. The record is from RNAcentral.
ACUUAAAUUGAAGAGUUUGAUCAUGGCUCAGAUUGAACGCUGGCGGCAGGCCUAACACAUGCAAGUCGAGCGGUAGCACAGAGAGCUUGCUCUCGGGUGACGAGCGGCGGACGGGUGAGUAAUGUCUGGGAAACUGCCUGAUGGAGGGGGAUAACUACUGGAAACGGUAGCUAAUACCGCAUAAUGUCGCAAGACCAAAGUGGGGGACCUUCGGGCCUCAUGCCAUCAGAUGUGCCCAGAUGGGAUUAGCUAGUAGGUGGGGUAAUGGCUCACCUAGGCGACGAUCCCUAGCUGGUCUGAGAGGAUGACCAGCCACACUGGAACUGAGACACGGUCCAGACUCCUACGGGAGGCAGCAGUGGGGAAUAUUGCACAAUGGGCGCAAGCCUGAUGCAGCCAUGCCGCGUGUGUGAAGAAGGCCUUCGGGUUGUAAAGCACUUUCAGCGGGGAGGAAGGCGGUGAGGUUAAUAACCUCAUCGAUUGACGUUACCCGCAGAAGAAGCACCGGCUAACUCCGUGCCAGCAGCCGCGGUAAUACGGAGGGUGCAAGCGUUAAUCGGAAUUACUGGGCGUAAAGCGCACGCAGGCGGUCUGUCAAGUCGGAUGUGAAAUCCCCGGGCUCAACCUGGGAACUGCAUUCGAAACUGGCAGGCUAGAGUCUUGUAGAGGGGGGUAGAAUUCCAGGUGUAGCGGUGAAAUGCGUAGAGAUCUGGAGGAAUACCGGUGGCGAAGGCGGCCCCCUGGACAAAGACUGACGCUCAGGUGCGAAAGCGUGGGGAGCAAACAGGAUUAGAUACCCUGGUAGUCCACGCCGUAAACGAUGUCGAUUUGGAGGUUGUGCCCUUGAGGCGUGGCUUCCGGAGCUAACGCGUUAAAUCGACCGCCUGGGGAGUACGGCCGCAAGGUUAAAACUCAAAUGAAUUGACGGGGGCCCGCACAAGCGGUGGAGCAUGUGGUUUAAUUCGAUGCAACGCGAAGAACCUUACCUGGUCUUGACAUCCACAGAACUUUCCAGAGAUGGAUUGGUGCCUUCGGGAACUGUGAGACAGGUGCUGCAUGGCUGUCGUCAGCUCGUGUUGUGAAAUGUUGGGUUAAGUCCCGCAACGAGCGCAACCCUUAUCCUUUGUUGCCAGCGGU